This is a long non-coding RNA of Cyprinus carpio (common carp), 1645 nucleotides long. RefSeq lists it as uncharacterized. The transcript has 2 exons. Lineage: Eukaryota; Metazoa; Chordata; Actinopteri; Cypriniformes; Cyprinidae. The record is from RefSeq and is a predicted model, not a curated record.
UGUGACCAGUAACCAGAAAGGAUUUUUUUCCUUUUACACGCUGUCGACUGUCGACACCUACAGUAAUGCUCCAAGCAUUACCUCUCUCAGCGUUCAAGUCAAAGGAAUCGUCUGCUUGUGGAUUAUUCUAUCCUCGACAGCUCAGCUGACCAAUGAUUUCAACAGAUGUGAAGUUUGGAGCAUCAACCAACACGAUGAGUCUUGAUCUGGACAUUCACCAAUGGAACAUUUGGAUUAUCAGUGGAAUAUUAUGCACAUCAUCUGGGAGUGUAAUGAUUUAAAGACUUUUUUUAUCUGUCACCGCAAGGACCUCAAGGCUGCACCAGGUUAGUACACGCAAGCUUCAGAACAUGCCGUUUUUCCUAACAUAUGCUAACUUUAAGUUACUUUGCUCAAAGGAUGUCUUGUUCGGUAGAGUUUGCUUAGUGGUAUAAAAACUACUUUUGUAACAACAGCAUGAAAAAAAAAAACACCAAAAAGUAUCAGACAUUUCUGAGAUUUUCUUUAAUCUUUCCUUUUAGUCAAAACAACUGUAACAGGUGCAAGCUGUGCUUCAUUCAAGUCCAUUGGGCAGUCAGGGAUGAGUCAAGAUCACUUCUGACAAACAUAAGGUCGACCACUUAACAUGCUUUAUUUCAGCAUUCAAAAUAAUUAAAAACAUCUCAAAUUAUUAUACAUAUACAAAAUAGGUACAGAUCCUCUUGUUUUAACCCCCCUAUGGUGUGCUUCUCUCAUCAUUUUAGGACUUUUCUAUUUGAUUGCCUUUUUUAUGCUUUAAAAAAAACCCUGGGUGAAAACAAAAAUCCUGAUUACAGAAGUAUGGGAAAGAAGUGGGGAUAUAGCUGGAAGCAACUGGACAACAUUGGGGGGAUGUUUUGUAAAGAAACCAAAAGACAACAACCAAAAAGUGUCAAAAGGUGUUUGGAAAAUAAAAACAGACUCCACCUGCUUAUUCUACACUUGAAAAGACUGCGUGCAUCACAGCUACAGUACUGCUUCUUAACAAAAGCUCUGCUGUCUGGCUCUUAGCUUACACUUCAGAAAGAGAGGCAUCCGUUACAACUGGGCAGCAAGAUAUUAGGAUUUCUGUAGCACCAAAGGCCCUGUGAGCAAAAGCAACGAACAAUACAUUACUUUUAGAAAAAAGAAAACUCUAGAAUUUCUUGCUGACAGGACCUCAUGAGGAAAUAGCACGUUUACAGCUGUCACUUGAUCCUUUAACCAUACUUCUGCCAAGUAAAAUCCUGACCUGGUGUUGGUCAACACUGGGAAUUGCAGGUUUCUUUUUUGAGGUAGCCAUGAGACAUCAAAACAAAGUUGAACCCCUGUCUCUACUAGAUGUACUUUGUGUGACUCUUGAGAGGAACGUUGGCAUUCGGCACCUGGUGGUCCUAAUGGGUAUAACACAAAGACACUUAAAUGUCAUUUUACAGAUUUAUUUAACACCUGAACAUGGUACAAAGCAUUUGGUUUUGCUCUUUCAUUGUCCUUCCUCAGUGGUUGAAAAAAAAGUCACUUGCAUCAGUGAUGUUUCUUUAAACUCCAGGGGGAUUUUACACUUUAUAAGUAUAAUAUAUUAUUUUCUUGUUGCCAGUGAAACAAAUGAGUCUUCUAAAGUAUCCUCAGUGUGGGUGGUGACAAAAUA